GAUGAACGCUGGCGGCGUGCCUAAUACAUGCAAGUCGAGCGAACGGACGAGAAGCUUGCUUCUCUGAUGUUAGCGGCGGACGGGUGAGUAACACGUGGAUAACCUACCUAUAAGACUGGGAUAACUUCGGGAAACCGUAGCUAAUACCGGAUAAUAUUUUGAACCGCAUGGUUCAAAAGUGAAAGACGGUCUUGCUGUCACUUAUAGAUGGAUCCGCGCUGCAUUAGCUAGUUGGUAAGGUAACGGCUUACCAAGGCAACGAUGCAUAGCCGACCUGAGAGGGUGGUCGGCCACACGGGAACUGAGACACGGUCCCGACUCCUACGGGAGGCAGCAGUAGGUAAUAUUCCUCAAUGGGCGAAAUCCUGACGUAUCAACGCUGCGUGAGAGAUGAAGGUCUUCGGAUCGUAAAACUCUGUUAGUAGAGAAGAACAUAUGUGUAAGUAACUGUGCACAGAUUGACGGUACCUAAUAAGAAAGCCACGGCUAACUACGUG
Molecule: ribosomal RNA, 497 nt
Filed under: uncultured bacterium
Lineage: Bacteria
Description: partial 16S ribosomal RNA
Rfam family: Bacterial small subunit ribosomal RNA
Source: RNAcentral